Prunus avium (sweet cherry) is the source of this 891-nucleotide non-coding RNA. Lineage: Eukaryota; Viridiplantae; Streptophyta; Magnoliopsida; Rosales; Rosaceae. The record is from RefSeq and is a predicted model, not a curated record.
UCUCUUUAACAAAUAACACCUUUGAGAGAAAGGCACGUCUGAUGUUUAGCUCAAUCCAUCAGACUUGCUUGUUCUUAUAUUGUAUGACUUGCAAAAUCCAAAGCCCCUCACUGCCCCACCCCCCAACUCCACCAGAGUCAUGGGGCUCUUGCCCUCUUAGCUCCCAACACUCUCACUCUUGUUCUCAGGGUCUUUGUCCCUCCUCUACCUCUAUAUCUUCACCACCCAUCUCACUUAUCAAAUUCCACGCCUCCCAAUCUGCUUCUUGUUCCUCUUCACCAAUAACACCAAGAAUUCAGGGACAGAACUAGAAUUUUACUUUUAAUUGAUUGAAGUUUGAUGGGAUCGAACAAGGAAGAGAAAGAUGCAAGUUACUUUGAACAUGAAAGAGUUGUGAACACUAGGAAAGCUUGCUUUUGGUCAAUUUUGGUGAGCGUGGCAGGGGGGCUCAUGUUAGGAUGGUGGGAAUAUCAAUAUCAUCCCACAAAUAGGCAACUGUGGAUGGUGCCCUUUGGUCUCAUCCUUUUUGCUACCCCGGUCAUUGUUUGGUUCUCUGUUAUGGCCUCUGACAUCUCUAAUUUGAAGGAUGAUGAUCAUGUCAAAAGGGUGAGUCAACUCAGUAACUCGGUUUCUGCCAAGAAAGAUGGGCAAUGGAGCAACCAUGUGAAUGAUGUAUAGAUUUUAAUAUAUAUAUUGCCUACGAUUGUUUCUAUGUAAGAAUUCCACCAAUCUCAUUCAAUUACAUACGUGGAGUUUUUAUUUAUUUAUAAGAACUAUGUGAACACCAUGUGGACUCCAAGUAAUUGAUUAAGAUUCAUACAUUAUGUAAGGAGCAUAGUUACAUAGGCUUCUUAAUUACGGGUGAUAGAUUGAUUGUGGUUGAUUUUGUUA